Molecule: ribosomal RNA, 246 nt
Filed under: uncultured bacterium
Lineage: Bacteria
Description: partial small subunit ribosomal RNA
Rfam family: Bacterial small subunit ribosomal RNA
Source: RNAcentral
AGGACGAACGCUGGCGGCGUGCUUAACACAUGCAAGUCGAACGAGGUGCUUGCACCUAGUGGCGAACGGGUGAGUAACACGUGAGCAACCUGCCCUUGGCUCUGGGAUAGCCUCCGGAAACGGGGAUUAAUACCGGACAUGACCUUGGUCUGCAUGGACUGAGGUGGAAAGUUUUUUCGGCCAGGGAUGGGCUCGCGGCCUAUCAGCUUGUUGGGGGGGUAACGCCCACCAAGGCGACGACGGGUA